UGGUCCUGACCCUAAAGUCAAUUUGUACUCAACUUACACAUGCAAGUCUCAGCACCCCCGUGAGAACGCCCUAAACCCCUACUCGGAAUAAGGAGCUGGUAUCAGGCACACUAUAUAGCCCAAAACACCUAGCUACGCCACAUCCUCAAGGAACCCUCAGCAGUGAUCAAUAUUGAAAAUAUGCGACAGCAAGAUUCAGUUAAAGUACAGAGAGCCGGCAAAAUUGGUGCCAGCCGCCGCGGUUAUACCAAUAGACUCUAGUUGACCCUAUCGGCGUAAAGCGUGAUUAAAGGUUUCCCCACCUCAUUUAAGAUUAAAGAUUAAAUCCUCACUAAGCUGUGACACGCUUGUGCCAGAGAAACCCGGAAACGAAAGUUACUUUAAUUUACCCCACUUGAACUCACGACAGUUAAGACACAAACUGGGAUUAGAUACCCCACUAUGCUUAACCGUAAACUUUAAAUUACAUCAUGAACGCCAGAGAACUACGAGCAAAGCUUAAAACUCAAAGGACUUGACGGUACCCCAUAUCCACCUAGAGGAGCCUGUCCUAUAAUCGAUAACCCCCGCUUCACCUUACCAUUUUUAGUCAAUCAGUCUGUAUACCUCCGUCGUCAGCUUACCACGUGAGCGAAUCAUAGUAAGCCUAAUGCCAAUGCGCCAAUACGUCAGGUCAAGGUGCAACUAACAAAAUGUGAAAGAGAUGGGCUACACUUUCUAAUUUAGAAAACACGAAAAACUUUAUGAAAUCUAGUUAGAAGGCGGAUUUAGCAGUAAAAAGAAACUAGAGAGUUCUUUUUAAUACGGCACUGGGGUGUGUACACACCGCCCGUCACCCUCUUCAAGACCCAAAUUUUAUAGUACCUAACUAACUUUCUACCUUAAGAAGAGGUAAGUCGUAACAUGGUAAGUAUACCGGAAGGUGUGCUUGGAAA
RNAcentral lists this non-coding RNA (935 nucleotides) under Pithecopus ayeaye (reticulate leaf frog). Its description in RNAcentral is "Phyllomedusa ayeaye (reticulate leaf frog) partial 12S ribosomal RNA". It matches the Rfam family "Bacterial small subunit ribosomal RNA", at positions 327 to 1522 of the family's 1533-position model. The record is from RNAcentral. Lineage: Eukaryota; Metazoa; Chordata; Amphibia; Anura; Hylidae.